Molecule: long non-coding RNA, 162 nt
Filed under: Haliotis rubra (blacklip abalone)
Lineage: Eukaryota; Metazoa; Mollusca; Gastropoda; Lepetellida; Haliotidae
Description: uncharacterized LOC124292527
Source: RNAcentral
UCUGGAUACCAGCUCACCUCUGUAUAUUUCCACGAUCCUUACAGGCCUGUAUGGUAUGAGGGACUGCUGGAUCUGGCAAACCUAGGUCCACACACCUGGGUUUAUGUAUAAGGAGGAUAUGGUGGAUUCGUCCCAGCGUAAUAAAGAUGCCGUCAACUCACA